RNAcentral lists this ribosomal RNA (206 nucleotides) under uncultured bacterium. RNAcentral describes it as "partial 16S ribosomal RNA". It matches the Rfam family "Bacterial small subunit ribosomal RNA", at positions 1295 to 1500 of the family's 1533-position model. The record is from RNAcentral.
GGAUUGUAGCCUGCAACCCGGCUACCAUGAAGCUGGAAUCGCUAGUAAUCGCAGAUCAGAAUGCUGCGGUGAAUACGUUCCCGGGUCUUGUACACACCGCCCGUCACACCAUGGGAGCCGGGAAUGCCCGAAGUCCGUAGCCUAACCGCAAGGGGGCGCGGCCGAAGGUGGGUUCGAUAAUUGGGGUGAAGUCGUAACAAGGUAUC